AGUGAACGCUGGCGGUAGGCCUAACACAUGCAAGUCGAACGGCAGCACAGUAAGAGCUUGCUCUUACGGGUGGCGAGUGGCGGCCGGGUGAGGAAUACAUCGGAAUCUACUUUUUCGUGGGUGAUAACGUAGGGAAACUUACGCUAAUACCGCAUACGACCUACGGGUGAGUGCAGGGGAUCUUCGGACCUUGCGCGAUUGAAUGAGCCGAUGUCGGAUUAGCUAGUUGGCGGGGUAAAGGCCCACCAAGGCGACGAGCCGUAGCUGGUCUGAGAGGAUGAUCAGCCACACUGGAACUGAGACACGGUCCAGACUCCGACGGGAGGCAGAAGUGGGGAAGAUUGGACAAUGGGCGCAAGCCUGAUCCAGCCAUACCGCGUGGGUGAAGAAGGCCUUCGGGUUGUAAAGCCCUUUUGUUGGGAAAGAAAAGCAGCAGGUUAAUACCCCGCUGUUCUGACGGUACUCAAAGAAUAAGCACCGGCUAACUUCGUG
Molecule: ribosomal RNA, 492 nt
Filed under: uncultured bacterium
Lineage: Bacteria
Description: partial 16S ribosomal RNA
Rfam family: Bacterial small subunit ribosomal RNA
Source: RNAcentral